UACGUAGGGGGCUAGCGUUGUCCGGAAUCAUUGGGCGUAAAGAGCGUGUAGGCGGCUCGGUAAGUCCGCUGUGAAAGUCCAGGGCUCAACCCUGGGAUGCCGGUGGAUACUGUCGAGCUCGAGUCCGGAAGAGGCGAGUGGAAUUCCUGGUGUAGCGGUGAAAUGCGCAGAUAUCAGGAGGAACACCAAUUGCGAAGGCAGCUCGCUGGGACGUUACUGACGCUGAGACGCGAAAGCGUGGGGAGCAAACAGG
RNAcentral lists this ribosomal RNA (253 nucleotides) under uncultured bacterium. Its description in RNAcentral is "partial 16S ribosomal RNA". It matches the Rfam family "Bacterial small subunit ribosomal RNA", at positions 524 to 776 of the family's 1533-position model. The record is from RNAcentral.